RNAcentral lists this ribosomal RNA (199 nucleotides) under uncultured bacterium. RNAcentral's name for it is "partial 16S ribosomal RNA". It matches the Rfam family "Bacterial small subunit ribosomal RNA", at positions 328 to 539 of the family's 1533-position model. The record is from RNAcentral.
ACGCUCGACACCUACGGGAGGCAGCAGUGGGGAAGUAUUGCACAAUGGGGGAAACCCGUGAUGCAGCGACGCCGCGUGAGCGAAGAAGUAUCUCGGUAUGUAAAGCUCUAUCAGCAGGGAAGAAGAUGACGGUACCUGACUAAGAAGCACCGGCUGAAUACGUGCCACAGCCGCGGUAAUCUGAGCGGGCUGGCAAGGC